AUUGAACGCUGGCGGCAGGCUUAACACAUGCAAGUCGAACGAGUGGCGGACGGGUGAGUAAUGCUUGGGAAUCUAGCUUAUGGAGGGGGCUAACUACGGGAAACUGUAGCUAAUACCGCGUACCAUAGGAUGAGCCCAAGUGGGAUUAGCUCGUUGGUGAGGUAACGGCUCACCAAGCCGACGAUCUCUAGCUGGUCUGAGAGGACGACCAGCCACACUGGGACUGAGACACGACCCAGACUCCGACGGUGGGAAGCAGUGGGGAAUAUUGCGCAAGGGGGGCAGCCUGACGCAGACAUGCCGCGUGAAUGAAGAAGGCCUUCGGGUUGUAAAGUUCUUUCGGUAGCGAGGCGUUAACUACAGAAGAAGCACCGGCUAACUCCGUGCCAGCAGCCGCGGUAAUUC
Molecule: ribosomal RNA, 405 nt
Filed under: uncultured bacterium
Lineage: Bacteria
Description: partial 16S ribosomal RNA
Rfam family: Bacterial small subunit ribosomal RNA
Source: RNAcentral